CAAGCCUCCUGCUCUCACUUUUUCUAUCAACACCCACACAGAGACUGGAUUAUCUAUAAUAUGUUUACAGGUAAAAUGCACAUAAAAGCCUUUCUCAAGGACUCCAUAAAUUUAAAACAUAACUUUUAAUGGAGUAUGUUGACAAUCACAAAUACUAAAAUAUAUCCUCGAAGCAAAGUUCACCUGUAGCAUCGAAGUUUUAAAUAGCCUAGGAGUUCUUUAAAUGUUAAGGCAGACUGUCACGUAUAGGGGAAAUGUUGACUGGUUGACUGAAGUAGAGUCAGUGUGCAAUGAGUUGGUCAAUCAGAGAGGAAGUUUUGGAGUUAUAGAAUCAGUUAGUAAGUUGCUAGUUUUGGAGGGAAGAAAGGAAGUAGUUAUAUAGCUGUUAUAGAAUCUGUUAUAGUCAGUUAUGUGUGUCUGUGACAGUUACCAAGAGUAGACUGAGUAUAAAAUGAAGG
Molecule: unclassified non-coding RNA, 458 nt
Filed under: Hevea brasiliensis (rubber tree)
Lineage: Eukaryota; Viridiplantae; Streptophyta; Magnoliopsida; Malpighiales; Euphorbiaceae
Source: RNAcentral